This 461-nucleotide ribosomal RNA is filed under the name uncultured bacterium. Its description in RNAcentral is "bacterial SSU rRNA". It matches the Rfam family "Bacterial small subunit ribosomal RNA", at positions 29 to 507 of the family's 1533-position model. The record is from RNAcentral.
AGCGAACGCUGGCGGCAGGCUUAACACAUGCAAGUCGAACGGGCGUAGCAAUACGUCAGUGGCAGACGGGUGAGUAACGCGUGGGAACGUACCUUUUGGUUCGGAACAACACAGGGAAACUUGUGCUAAUACCGGAUAAGCCCUUACGGGGAAAGAUUUAUCGCCGAAAGAUCGGCCCGCGUCUGAUUAGCUAGUUGGUGAGGUAACGGCUCACCAAGGCGACGAUCAGUAGCUGGUCUGAGAGGAUGAUCAGCCACAUUGGGACUGAGACACGGCCCAAACUCCUACGGGAGGCAGCAGUGGGGAAUAUUGGACAAUGGGCGCAAGCCUGAUCCAGCCAUGCCGCGUGAGUGAUGAAGGCCCUAGGGUUGUAAAGUUCUUUCGGUCCGGGAAGAAAUCGUAUGGGUUAAUACCCUGUGCGGAUGACGGUACCGGCAUAAGAAGCACCGGCUAACUACGUG